Molecule: ribosomal RNA, 465 nt
Filed under: uncultured bacterium
Lineage: Bacteria
Description: partial 16S ribosomal RNA
Rfam family: Bacterial small subunit ribosomal RNA
Source: RNAcentral
GACGAACGCUGGCGGCGUGCUUAACACAUGCAAGUCGAACGGAAAGGCCCCUUUGGGUGUCCUCGAGUGGCGCACGGGUGAGUAAUAUGUCAGUAACCUGCCCUUGACUUCGGGUUACCUUCCGGAAAUUAGGCUUAUUCCCCGUUCGGAAUCCUUACUGCAUGGUGGGGGUUGGAAAGCUUUGGCGUUUUUGGCUGCACUCGCGUGUUAUCAGCUUGUUUGUGGGGUAGUGGCUUACCAAGGCGAUGCCGGGUAGACGGCCAGAGAGGGCGAGCGGCCACACUGGGACUGAGAUGCGGCCCAGACGCCUACGGGAGGCAGAAGGGGGGAAGAUUGAACAAUGGGCGGAAGGCGGAUGCAGCAGCGCCGCGUGCGGGAUGACGGCCUUCGGGGUGUAAAACGGUUACAGCAGGGGAGAAGCUUGUGGUGACGGUACCUGCAGAAGAAGCACCGGCUAACUACGUG